GCGGGAGCGGCGGGGCGGCCCUGGGAGGGAAGGGCCCGGCUCGGCCCGGAGCGCAGAUAACGCCCGGCACUCCGGCGCCCGAGACUGCGAGACGCCGAGGCCACAGGGGUGACGGCUGAGGGCACAGCCGGGCGGGGACCGGGACCCAAAGUCCCCCAACGCCAGGUCCCUGAGUGCCAGGUCGCUCACCCUCGAAGCCCCAAGCCUGACUCUGCACGAGAUCUGGAUACUGAGGCGUCUGCCAGGCAACAGAAGCCCCUUUGCCUUUCCAGCGCAGGAGAGCCUCAGGCUCCUGCUCUGCACACCCCUCCCCACUCCAACUCCAGCCCUCACUGGCUCAGUGCAA
RNAcentral lists this small RNA (346 nucleotides) under Mus musculus (house mouse). RNAcentral's name for it is "Scarletltr erythroid developmental lncRNA". The record is from RNAcentral. Lineage: Eukaryota; Metazoa; Chordata; Mammalia; Rodentia; Muridae.